Molecule: ribosomal RNA, 484 nt
Filed under: uncultured bacterium
Lineage: Bacteria
Description: partial 16S ribosomal RNA
Rfam family: Bacterial small subunit ribosomal RNA
Source: RNAcentral
AUUGAACGCUGGCGGCAGGCCUAACACAUGCAAGUCGAGCGGAUGAAGGGAGCUUGCUCCUGGAUUCAGCGGCGGACGGGUGAGUAAUGCCUAGGAAUCUGCCUGGUAGUGGGGGAUAACGUCCUGAAACGGGCGCUAAUACCGCAUACGUCCUGAGGGAGAAAGUGGGGGAUCUUCGGACCUCACGCUAUCAGAUGAGCCUAGGUCGGAUUAGCUAGUUUGUGGGGUAAAGGCCUACCAAGGCGACGAUCCGUAACUGGUCUGAGAGGAUGAUCAGUCACACUGGAACUGAGACACGGUCCAGACUCCUAAGGGAGGCAGCAGUGGGGAAUAUUGGACAAUGGGCGAAAGCCUGAUACAGCCAUGCCGCGUGUGUGAAGACGGUCUUCGGAUUGUAAAGCACUUUAAGUUGGGAGGAAGGGCAGUAAGUUAAUACCUUGCUGUUUUGACGUUACCAACAGAAUAAGCACCGGCUAACUUCGUG